This 447-nucleotide ribosomal RNA is filed under the name uncultured bacterium. RNAcentral's name for it is "partial 16S ribosomal RNA". It matches the Rfam family "Bacterial small subunit ribosomal RNA", at positions 29 to 523 of the family's 1533-position model. The record is from RNAcentral.
AACGAACGCUGGCGGCAGGCCUAACACAUGCAAGUCGAACGCUCCGCAAGGAGAGUGGCAGACGGGUGAGUAACACGUGGGAAUCUUCCUAUCGGUACGGAAUAGCUCAGGGAAACUUGGGGUAAUACCGCAUACGCCCUUCGGGGGAAAGAUUUAUCGCCGAUAGAUGAGCCCGCGUCUGAUUAGCUAGUUGGUGAGGUAACGGCUCACCAAGGCGACGAUCAGUAGCUGGUCUGAGAGGAUGACCAGCCACACUGGGACUGAGACACGGCCCAGACUCCUACGGGAGGCAGCAGUGGGGUAUAUUGGACAAUGGGCGCAAGCCUGAUCCAGCCAUGCCGCGUGAGUGACGAAGGUCUUCGGAUUGUAAAGCUCUUUUGGCGGGGACGAUAAUGACGGUACCCGCAGAAUAAGCCCCGGCUAACUUCGUGCCAGCCGCCGCAGUAA